UACGUAGGGUGCAAGCGUUGUCCGGAAUUAUUGGGCGUAAAGAGCUCGUAGGCGGUUUGUCGCGUCUGCUGUGAAAACUCGGGGCUCAACUCCGAGCUUGCAGUGGGUACGGGCAGACUAGAGUGCGGUAGGGGAGACUGGAAUUCCGGGUGUAGCGGUGGAAUGCGUAGAGAUCCGGAAGAACACCGGUGGCGAAGGCGGCCUGCUGGGCAGUGGCUGACGCUGAUGCGCGACAGCGUGGGGAGCAAACAGG
RNAcentral lists this ribosomal RNA (253 nucleotides) under uncultured bacterium. Its description in RNAcentral is "partial 16S ribosomal RNA". It matches the Rfam family "Bacterial small subunit ribosomal RNA", at positions 524 to 776 of the family's 1533-position model. The record is from RNAcentral.